This 253-nucleotide ribosomal RNA is filed under the name uncultured bacterium. RNAcentral describes it as "partial 16S ribosomal RNA". It matches the Rfam family "Bacterial small subunit ribosomal RNA", at positions 524 to 776 of the family's 1533-position model. The record is from RNAcentral.
UACGGGGGGGGCAAGCGUUGUUCGGAAUUACUGGGCGUAAAGGGCUCGUAGGCGGCCAACUGAGUCAGACGUGAAAUCCCUCGGCUUAACCGGGGAACUGCAUCUGAUACUGGAUGGCUUGAGUUCGGGAGAGGGAUGCGGAAUUCCAGGUGUAGCGGUGAAAUGCGUAGAUAUCUGGAGGAACACCGGUGGCGAAGGCGGCAUCCUGGACCGAGACUGACGCUGAGGAGCGAAAGCCAGGGGAGCAAACGGG